GACGAAGGUGGCAAGCGUUGUUCGGAAUCACUGGGCAUAAAGCGCGCGUAGGCGGCUGUGUAAGUCAGGUGUGAAAGCCCUCGGCUCAACCGAGGAACUGCGCCUGAUACUGCACGGCUUGAGGUCCGGAGGGGAGAGUGGAAUUCCCGGUGGAGCGGUGAAAUGCGUAGAGAUCGGGAAGAACGCCGGCGGCGAAAGCGACUCUCUGGUCGGAAUCUGACGCUGAGGCGCGAAAGCUAGGGGAGCAAAC
RNAcentral lists this ribosomal RNA (250 nucleotides) under uncultured bacterium. RNAcentral's name for it is "partial 16S ribosomal RNA". It matches the Rfam family "Bacterial small subunit ribosomal RNA", at positions 524 to 773 of the family's 1533-position model. The record is from RNAcentral.